UGAGUAACACGUAUCCAACCUGCCGUCUACUCUUGGACAGCCUUCUGAAAGGAAGAUUAAUACAAGAUGGCAUCAUGAGUCCGCAUGUUCACAUGAUUAAAGGUAUUCCGGUAGACGAUGGGGAUGCGUUCCAUUAGAUAGUAGGCGGGGUAACGGCCCACCUAGUCUUCGAUGGAUAGGGGUUCUGAGAGGAAGGCCCCCCACAUUGGAACUGAGACACGGUCCAA
This 227-nucleotide ribosomal RNA is filed under the name uncultured bacterium. RNAcentral describes it as "partial 16S ribosomal RNA". It matches the Rfam family "Bacterial small subunit ribosomal RNA", at positions 107 to 334 of the family's 1533-position model. The record is from RNAcentral.